GGGUACAUGCUGAUGCUGGCGGUUAUGUCGUUCAACGGCGGCGUGUUUGUGGCGGUUGUUGUUGGGCUUGGAUUGGGGUACUUGCUGUUUAGGAGCGGGUUUGAUGAGAAUAUGCUUAUCCAGGACGAAUCUUGCGCUUGUGCCUGACUGAUCUAGCCAUGGCGUGUUCUAACUUUUAUCAGAAAAAAAAUCUCUGUAUGUUUAGUAGGUUAGCUAUGUUUGUGUGGACGAUCGGAUGUGUAAAAAGGAAACCUGGUAUUCUGAUGAUGCAUGCAGCUCUGAGCUCUGUUUAAUUACUUCAUCUCUUCCCCCUCUUCUGAUUAGGAUUUUGCAGAUCUGAUUUUGUGUUGUUCUGAAUUCCAUCACUUGCAAAGGAAAAUUCUAGCCGAUUCAGAAUUCCUGUUCAAUUCCGCCGGAUUAAG
This 422-nucleotide long non-coding RNA is filed under the name Linum usitatissimum (flax). RNAcentral describes it as "long non-coding RNA (LUSI_LNC004680)". The record is from RNAcentral. Lineage: Eukaryota; Viridiplantae; Streptophyta; Magnoliopsida; Malpighiales; Linaceae.